GAUGAAGAACGCAGCGAAAUGCGAUAAGUAAUGUGAAUUGCAGAAUUCAGUGAAUCAUCGAAUCUUUGAACGCACCUUGCGCUCUUUGGUAUUCCGAAGAGCAUGCCUGUUUGAGUGUCAUGAAAAUAUCAACCUUGACUUGGGUUUUGUGCUCUAGUCUCGGCUUGGAAUUGGGUGCUUGCCGCUUUUACGAGCGGCUCACCUUAAAUGUAUUAGCUGGAUCUGUCUUUGAGACUUGGUUUGACUUGGCGUAAUAAGUCUUUCGCUAAGGACAUUCUUCGGAGUGGCCUCGUUUCUAGGACGCUUGUCCGCUUUCCAAUACAAGUUCCACCUCGUGGACAUGACUUUUUAUUAUCUGGCCUCAAAUCAGGUAGGACUACCCGCUGAACUUAAGCAUAUCAAUAAGCAGAGGA
Molecule: unclassified non-coding RNA, 413 nt
Filed under: soil metagenome
Description: partial contains 5.8S ribosomal RNA, internal transcribed spacer 2, and large subunit ribosomal RNA
Rfam family: 5.8S ribosomal RNA (bases 1-120)
Source: RNAcentral